GAAACCAACAGGGAUUGCCUCAGUAACGGCGAGUGAAGCGGCAAAAGCUCAAAUUUGAAAUCUAGCACUUUCAGUGUUCGAGUUGUAAUUUGAAGAAGGUAACUUUGGUUUUGGCUCUUGUCUAUGUUCCUUGGAACAGGACGUCACAGAGGGUGAGAAUCCCGUGCGAUGAGAUGCCCAAUUCCAUGUAAAGUGCUUUCGAAGAGUCGAGUUGUUUGGGAAUGCAGCUCUAAGUGGGUGGUAAAUUCCAUCUAAAGCUAAAUAUUGGCGAGAGACCGAUAGCGAACAAGUACAGUGAUGGAAAGAUGAAAAGAACUUUGAAAAGAGAGUGAAAAAGUACGUGAAAUUGUUGAAAGGGAAGGGCUUGAGAUCAGACUUGGUAUUUUGCGUUCCCUUCCUUUUUGGUUGGGUUCCUCGCAGUUUACUGGGCCAGCAUCGGUUUGGAUGGUAGGAUAAUGACAUUGGAAUGUAGCUUUACUUCGGUGAAGUGUUAUAGACUUUGUUGAUACUGCCUAUCUAGACCGAGGACU
This 530-nucleotide ribosomal RNA is filed under the name Dujonia zeylanoides. Its description in RNAcentral is "eukaryotic LSU rRNA". It matches the Rfam family "Eukaryotic large subunit ribosomal RNA", at positions 61 to 596 of the family's 3401-position model. Lineage: Eukaryota; Fungi; Ascomycota; Pichiomycetes; Serinales; Debaryomycetaceae. The record is from RNAcentral.